Molecule: ribosomal RNA, 433 nt
Filed under: uncultured bacterium
Lineage: Bacteria
Description: partial 16S ribosomal RNA
Rfam family: Bacterial small subunit ribosomal RNA
Source: RNAcentral
AACGAACGCUGGCGGCAUGCCUAACACAUGCAAGUCGAACGAGACCUUCGGGUCUAGUGGCGCACGGGUGCGUAACGCGUGGGAACCUGCCCUUAGGUUCGGAAUAACUCCCCGAAAGGGGUGCUAAUACCGGAUAAUGUCUUCGGACCAAAGAUUUAUCGCCUUUGGAUGGGCCCGCGUUGGAUUAGCUAGUUGGUAGGGUAAAAGCCUACCAAGGCGACGAUCCAUAGCUGGUCUGAGAGGAUGAUCAGCCACACUGGGACUGAGACACGGCCCAGAAUCCUACGGGAGGCAGCAGUGGGGAAUAUUGGACAAUGGGCGAAAGCAUGAUCCAGCAAUGCCGCGUGAGUGAUGAAGGUCGUAGGGUUGUAAAGCUCUUUUACCCGGGAUGAUAAUGACAGUACCGGGAGAAUAAGCUCCGGCUAACUCCGUG